UUGGGUUAAGUCCCGCAACGAGCGCAACCCUUGCCUUUAGUUGCCAGCAGUUCGGCUGGCACUCUAAAGGGACUGCCGGUGUUAAACCGGAGGAAGUGGGGGAUGACGUCAAGUCCUCAUGGCCUUUAUGACCAGGGCUACACACGUACUACAAUGGCCGAUACAAAGGGCAGCGACACUGCGAGGUGAAGCCAAUCCCGUAAAUCGGUCUCAGUCCGGAUUGGAGUCUGCAACUCGACUCCAUGAAGUUGGAAUCGCUAGUAAUCGUGGAUCAGCAUGCCACGGUGAAUACGUUCCCGGGCCUU
RNAcentral lists this ribosomal RNA (305 nucleotides) under uncultured Desulfobulbus sp. Its description in RNAcentral is "bacterial SSU rRNA". It matches the Rfam family "Bacterial small subunit ribosomal RNA", at positions 1075 to 1382 of the family's 1533-position model. The record is from RNAcentral. Lineage: Bacteria; Pseudomonadati; Thermodesulfobacteriota; Desulfobulbia; Desulfobulbales; Desulfobulbaceae.